UAUAGGCGAUGCUCUCCUAGUCUUCAUCAAGCAGUUCUCCUCCAAUUGUUCGAGAGAGGUGACAGUAUUUCUGGGCUUCUUUUGUUUUAUCUGAGCUAGCGCUAUAAAAAUAAAAGCUAUUAACGCAAGCAGACGAUAGCGAACCAGACGAUAGCGAAGCAGAGCACGCAGAUUUUUCGUCCACUCAGCCGAUAGAUCGAUCAAUAUAUUCAUUGAUUGAUCUGCUUAUUUAUUGAUUGAUUUAGUGAAGAAAGAAAGAAAGAAAGAAGGCACUAUGUCUGUGACAACGGUUUCAUUGAUCACUCUAUCUGUUAUGCUUCUCUUCGGCUUGUCCGAGGCUUACGGCGGAGGAGGAGGUGGCAGUGGAGGCGGCGGCGGUGGUGGCGGCGGAGGAACUUUUAUAUGGGUUCCGGGAGGCGGCGGCAACCGACCCUUUCCUGAAGGAGGCGGCGGCGGUGGCGGCGGCGGAAGUUGGGGAGGCAAAAUCCCCUGGAAUGGCGGCGGCGGCAUGGGCAGAGGAGGAGGAGGAGGAGGUGGCGGACGAUGGGUCUGGACUGGUGGCAAUGGCGGCGGCGGCGGAGGCGGUAGCUUUGGAUGGGGUAUGAGAAGAGGCGGAGGAGGCGGUGGUUAUGACUGAAGGAAUGGAUACUUUCAGCAAAAAAAAAAAAAAUAUCGGAAGUAAAACCAGCGUCAUACGACAUCCGUCACAGUUGAAUCUAACCAAUAUACAUUCUUAAUUCAUUGGUUGUCUUCCAACAAGAGCAGCGAACCAUAACCCUAACUACACUCUCAACCAUACCAAUUCUAACAUCACCCCCAUCUUGAUCCUGGAAAUAUUCAC
Octopus sinensis (East Asian common octopus) is the source of this 841-nucleotide long non-coding RNA. RefSeq lists it as uncharacterized. The transcript is spliced from 2 exons. The record is from RefSeq and is a predicted model, not a curated record. NCBI's taxonomy places the organism in Eukaryota, Metazoa, Mollusca, Cephalopoda, Octopoda, Octopodidae.